RNAcentral lists this ribosomal RNA (465 nucleotides) under uncultured bacterium. RNAcentral describes it as "partial 16S ribosomal RNA". It matches the Rfam family "Bacterial small subunit ribosomal RNA", at positions 28 to 507 of the family's 1533-position model. The record is from RNAcentral.
GACGAACGCUGGCGGCGUGCGUAACACAUGCAAGUCGAACGGAAAGGCCCUGCUUGCAGGGUACUCGAGUGGCGAACGGGUGAGUAACACGUGGGUGAUCUGCCCUGCACUUCGGGAUAAGCCUGGGAAACUGGGUCUAAUACCGGAUAGGAGCCAUUUUUAGUGUGAUGGUUGGAAAGUUUUUUCGGUGUAGGAUGAGCUCGCGGCCUAUCAGCUUGUUGGUGGGGUAAUGGCCUACCAAGGCGGCGACGGGUAGCCGGCCUGAGAGGGUGGACGGCCACAUUGGGACUGAGAUACGGCCCAGACUCCUACGGGAGGCAGCAGUGGGGAAUAUUGCACAAUGGGCGCAAGCCUGAUGCAGCGACGCCGCGUGGGGGAUGACGGCCUUCGGGUUGUAAACUCCUUUCGCUAGGGACGAAGCUUUUUGUGACGGUACCUAGAGAAGAAGCACCGGCUAACUACGUG